GGCCACUGUGGCAAGACGAAGGAGGGGUGGGCAGGAACCACGUGCUGGUAAGGAGACUGGUUUUGUUCUAGAUGUGACAGAGAAGCAGGGAAAUGACAUGAUCUCACGUAAGCUGGCCGCAUUCUGGAUCUUUUCCUUUUGCGACUCACCGUUUGCUCUGGCUUUAUAGCUACUGCAACAAAUAGGGAUUGCUUCAGGGAUGGACACAUAAUUCAUUCAGACUAAGGAGGCAUGGCAAGAAUCUGAGGCUUCUGAGAAAAAGAAGUGAACUUCUUCUCUUACGGGAUUAGUGACGUGAUGGUAGACGUGAAGUCUGGAGCUAUAACCGUCUUGGAACCAGAAGAGGCUAAAGCUCCCAGCAACUGGGAAGAAUGGAACCAACUAAGAAGAACCUAAGAGCAGAGAGACGGGUCCCGGUGAUAUGGUUAUUCCCUUGAUUCAGCUAUGCGUGAAGCCAGUUACCACGUAGUUUUCUUUCUUUUUUUUUUUUUUAAAUUAAAGAAAAAUUUUUUCUUAGAGAGAGAGAGAGCAGGGGAGAAGAACAGAGAGAGGGAGAGAGACAGAAUCUUAAGCAGGCUCCACACUCAGCACAGAGCCCAACGAGGGGCUCGAUCCACGACCCUGGGAUCAUGACCUGAGCCGAAAUCAAGAGUUUGGACGCUCAACUGACUGAACCACCCAGGUGCCCACCAUGUACUUUUCAAUUACAUGAACCAAUACAUUCUUUUUACUUAAGUCUAUGUGGGUUGGGUUUCUUGUCUCUUGCAACUAGAAAAAUAGUAAUUGAUACCCAAAUUCAGUUAAGUAGCCUCCAGUGUAUUUAUCAAGUCUCCGACCUGGAGUCCUACCUUCUCUCAUAGAACACGGAAACACAGUAUUAUAACAAUCUUGACAUCUUCAACAGCGAUGCUGGCAGAGGUCCGUUAACGUGCCUCCUUCUUGUAACCUGAAGCACCGCCCUUGCCCUACCAAUCAGGCACCCUGCUCCUGUGUCUUUAACUUCCCUCACCACUGCUUUCUGCCUUUGGCAUACACACAUGCUCUUGACAUUCCCGUCUUAUGAAAUGUCCUCCUUCACUCAUCCGCCAUUUUAGCUGUCACCCUAUAACUCUAUCUUCUUUCUCAGUCAAGCUCUCAGAAGUAGUCUAUACCAACCCUUUCCAAUGCCACGGUUCUGCAGAUAGUUACAUAAAAAAGAGUAUACAAUCAAAUAUAUUGUGGGACAUGCUCUAGGUGGUAGCUUCCUUUUGGACAGUAACAAUUAAUGUGAGAGUAUUAGAGGCUCUAGGAGUUCUUACGGAGAUGAAGACUAUUCAAUUUUAUUUAAGCCAAUGUUUCCCAAACUUAUUUGACCAUGGAAACCACCCCCUUUUUAAUUCUGCUUAAAAUGAUUUAACAUUCCAAGGAUCUAGAGUUCUGAGGAUCUGCUUAGAAUUAUUUAAUAUCCCGAAGAUCUAGAGUUCUGAAAGGAUAGUUAUAUGCAAUGCCUUCGUCUCUCAUUGAUCCGCUUGAAGUUAUUAUUAAUUGUUACGAAACUUUUUAAAUACCAAAAGUAUACAGCAUAAUACAACACACUUGCAGCUAUCACCAACUUUGCCAAAUCUUAAUGAAAAAGAUCUAAACCGAACAUGGCAACAAGUUUACAGUUUCCAACUGUUCUGUUUCUCUUGUGCCUUUUUAUCUUAACACACAUUCCCUUUGUUUUGAAUACCCCAUCUCUCCUACCCCCACUGUUCUUUGCCUGGAGAAAUCCUACUCCCAGUCAAGACUCAGCUCAACUCUCACCUCCUUCAGGAAACCUUUCCUGUACAGAGCCCGACGCGGGGCUCGAACUCAUGAACCACGAGAUCAUGACCUGAGCCGAAAUCAAGAGCAGGAUGCUUAACCCAACUGAGCUACCCAGACGUGCCAAUAACUUACUGUUUCUCGAAUGAUGAAUGUUUGGGGGGCUUCGUGGUGGGUCUUCCCUGGGCUUAACAGAAAUGUACAAGUCAGUCACCACAUUUCUUGACUACUACGUUGCCCGGACUUCUAUACAUUUUACCCAGUCACUAUCUUUCCUCUUAGGAUGCUGUCUCCAUUCUCAUUUUUCCCUUUCAAAGCAAGCGAGUCAGCUAGGAUGCACUCUGCUUUGAGUAGCAGAAAACUAACUCUCAAAAGGGUAAGCCAUCUAAGAGGUCUGGAAGUGAAAGGCUUUGAGGCUGGCCAUCAUGGAUCCAGGCUUUCUUUCCAUUUGUUCUACCAGCAUCAGUGCACUAGCUUUUGCCCUCAUACGUGUCAUGUCAUGGUUGAAAGCUGCCUGCACAGCUCCAGAAUCCUGCCCCCAACCCCCACCCCCACCCCGACUGUGAGCCACAGUAGGAUGCCUUCGUGAGGCUGGUCUUUUUAUCAGGAAGAAAAUCCCUUCUAGAAGCUCCUAGCCCACAUGGCCUUAUGUCUCACAGAUGUCAGAACUUGUGUCACGCACCCCCUUCUUCCCCGCCCACAUCCGAGCUUGCCAGGGAGGCUGAGAAAAGUGAGUAUCUAGCCCAGAGGAACAGAAACACCUUGGCUGGCUUAACCCAACUGUGAUUCACCACGUGUGUCUGCAAGAGGGGCCAACCUCCCUGAAAUCAAGGGGCUGAGCCCAGUUGGGAUUCUCUUAGCGGGGAUGAAGAAGGCAGGGUAGAGAUAAGAUUGGCUGUUGGGUGGGCAACACCGUGUGCCUGCCAGGAUAGCAUCGGUAUGGUGGUCAGGGCUGUGGAACCAAAAGAUUCGAGUUUCUAGAAUGAGGCGUCUCGCUAGCCAACCACAGGCCCUUGGCCGGCUCCUGGUGAUCUCUGAGUUCAGUGUUCCUUGGUCCAACAGGAGGAGGAUUCCUCAGUGUAUCGUGUGAGCUGAUUAAUGACUUUUAAAAUAGAAAAAAAAAAAAAAAAAGCUUCUCUUCAUCCAACUUCUUAAGUCAGGUAUCUCUUGACAUUUCUUAAUGCAGGAAAACAGUGGUCCAUGCAUUCGUCUGACGGUCACUGUGCCUCUCCCUUGGGGCACCUUGGGGCACAGAGAUAGUUAAGACAACCUCUUCCCUCAAAAGGCUCACUGUCUGGUGAACAAGACAGACAUUUACACAAACAGCUACGCUGGACGUGACAAGUGCAAUAGUUAAGAUCUGUACAAAGUGCCAGGGACCAGGGAAGGAGGUCAAUUUGCUGGGCGGGGGGAAGGAUGCCAAGGGGGCCGCCACACACGGCCGUGCAGGCGGGUCCUGCACAUCUUGCAUUUGUGGACGCCCUGGCUACUGAGUCCAGAAGCCCUCUGAAGGGAGGAAACAUUGGCAGAGGAAGCAGAGGAAGGCUACAGGUAGGACAAGGUGAAGAAGAGUCCCCGGAGAGAGAAGGGGGGAAAAAAAGUACAAUCGAUGGAAAAUUCAGGAUGUAGUCGACGCUGUGGAGCAGACCUACUAUUGAGGGAAAGGGGUGGCGGAGGGGGGCACGUAACGGAAAGGAGGCUGAAAGUCAGGUAAGGCUUUUAAAAACCUGAGCCUUAUCCUUUAGCUGGCAAUGGAGAGUCAAUGAAAAUUUAAAAACAUUAACAGUAACUCAUUCCUUCAAAGGUUAGAGAGGCCAAUCCCAUUUGCAAAUUAAGUAACUCCUAAAUUGCAGGAGUCCUAAAUUACUACCAACUCUUACUUAAUAAACAAAGAAGGUAUUAUAAUGUUCGGGAAACAACUGUCAACUGCGCUUCUGAGUUUUUAAGAAAGUUACGAGGAAAUGAAUACCUGUAUUUUGUCCUUCCAUAAAACUGAACAGGUUAGGGAUAUAUCCCAUAAAUCCUACAAUUAUUUCAAGCACAAGGCGUAGCUUUACUGCAUUAUCGCUUUUAAAUAACACAUCACCAGAUUCUGGUUCCCAAAACCACUUUGGGGAAAAAUGCUUUCCUAAGUGACAUCACCCCACUUUCCAUAUAAAAUGAAAAAAAAUAAAGACUCAUAUUCAGAAGUGGCAGGCUACAAAAGGAGGUUUGGUGUACCUUAACAGCCUACUAUAGAACCCCCUACUGCCCUGAGAGAAACAAAGAAAUAAAUUAAAAAUAUAAAAAAAAA
This is a long non-coding RNA of Leopardus geoffroyi (Geoffroy's cat), 4078 nucleotides long. RefSeq lists it as uncharacterized. The record is from RefSeq and is a predicted model, not a curated record. Lineage: Eukaryota; Metazoa; Chordata; Mammalia; Carnivora; Felidae. The transcript has 3 exons.